This 253-nucleotide ribosomal RNA is filed under the name uncultured bacterium. RNAcentral's name for it is "partial 16S ribosomal RNA". It matches the Rfam family "Bacterial small subunit ribosomal RNA", at positions 524 to 776 of the family's 1533-position model. The record is from RNAcentral.
UACGUAGGCAGCAAGCGUUGUUCGGAAUUACUGGGCGUAAAGAGUGUGUAGGCGGUGUUCUAAGUUUGGUGUGAAAUCUCCCGGCUCAACCGGGAGGGUGCGCCGAAUACUGAGGGACUCGAGUGCGGGAGAGGAAAGUGGAAUUCCUGGUGUAGCGGUGAAAUGCGUAGAUAUCAGGAGGAACACCGGUGGUGUAGACGGCUUUCUGGACCGUAACUGACGCUGAGACACGAAAGCGUGGGUAGCAAACAGG